This 2533-nucleotide ribosomal RNA is filed under the name uncultured bacterium. RNAcentral describes it as "bacterial LSU rRNA". It matches the Rfam family "Bacterial large subunit ribosomal RNA", at positions 1 to 2461 of the family's 2925-position model. The record is from RNAcentral.
CAAAGCUACUACGGGCGCGCGGUGGAUGCCUAGGCGCUGGAAGCCGAUGAAGGACGCGGCGAGACUGCGAUAAGCCUCGGUUAGCUGUCUAGCAAGCUUAGCCGGGGAUUUCCGAAUGGGGGAACCCGCCUCGAUGAAUAAUCGGGGCACUCCGACUCGAGUCGGAGAGGGAACCGGGGGAACUGAAACAUCUAAGUACCCCGAGGAAAAGAGAUUAUUCCCUUAGUAGCGGCGAGCGAACGGGGAUCAGCUCAAACCGUCAGGGAAGGUAACGGCCCACGGGCCAAUGCCCUGGCGGGGUUGUAAGACACGGACGGGGAGCGCUGUGGAGCUCCCGGGAAGUUACCAAGCUCAGUCCCAGCAGAAGUACCCUGGAAAGGGACGCCGUAGAGAGUGAAAGCCUCGUAUGUGAAGGGGCAUGGGCCUUCCUGGUUUGUGUUCUUGAGUACCACGGGACACGUGGAAUCCCGUGGGAAGCCGGGGGGACCACCCUCCAAAGCUAAACACUUCCAGCGACCGAUAGUGCAGCAGUACCGUGAGGGAAAUGGUGAAAAAGUACCCCGGAAGGGGAGUUAAAAGUUCCUGAAACCGCGUGCCUACAAACCGUCGGAGCUCCGAUUCGUCGGGGUGACGGCGUGCCUAUUGGAGAAUGAGCCGGCGAGUAAAUCUCAGUGGCAUGGUUAAGCAAGGAGACUUGCGGAGCCGUAGCGAAAGCGAGUCCUAAUAGGGCGUCUCCUUCGGGAGCGUCGCUGGGAUUUGACCCGAAACCUGGUGAGCUACCCAUGGCCAGGGUGAAGCCUCGAUAAUAUCGAGGUGGAGGCCCGAACCAUUUGACGGUGCAAAGUCUCUGGAUGAGUUGUGGGUAGAGGUGAAAUGCCAAUCGAACCAGGAGAUAGCUGGUUCUCCCCGAAAUGCAUUGAGGUGCAGCCUCAGGAAACGUCUCUUGGAGGUAGGGCACUGGAUGGGCUAGGGGGCACAACGCUUACCAAACCCAACCAAACCACGAAUGCCAAGAGAUAAGCCUGGGAGUGAGCCCGUGGGGGAUAAACUUCACGGACAAAAGGGAAACAACCCAGACCACCGGCUAAGGUCCCCAAGUGUGUGCUAAGUGGGAAAGGAUGUGGGAUAGCCCAGACAGCCAGGAGGUUGGCUUAGAAGCAGCCAUCCUUGAAAGAGUGCGUAACAGCUCACUGGUCGAUGCCAUCCCGCGCCGAAAAUGUAACGGGGCUCAAGCCCAUCACCGAAGCCGUGGUCCCGGAUGAUUCGUCAUCCGGGAGGUAGGGGAGCGUUCCGUUCAGCGUUGAAGCCCGGCCGUGAGGCCUGGUGGAGCGGACGGAAGUGAGAAUGCCGGCACGAGUAGCACAAGGCGAGUGAGAAUCUCGCCCACCGAAUGCCUAAGGUUUCCUACGGAAGGAUCGUCCGCGUAGGGUUAGGCGGGCCUAAGGCUAAGACGUAAAGUCGAUGCCGAUGGACAGCCGGUUAUUAUUCCGGCCCCAUCUCCACUGACGUUAUGAGACGGCGGGAGGACCCAGGAGGGUAGGCUGAGCGGGCCCAUUGGACAUGGUCCGUCCUUGAUCCGUAGGCGUCUGGGAAGAGGCAAAUCCCUUCCCAGGUUAAGCUGAGGGAUUGAGGGGAGCGGCGACUUCGGUCAAGGCGACUCAGCUAAUCCCACGCUGGCAAGAAAAGUCUCGUCGUCCAGUCAUGGGGAUGUCCGUACCGCAAUCCAACACAGGUAGGCAAGGGUAAGCGCCCUCAGGUGGUCGAGUGACCCCCCGUCAAGGAACUCGGCAAAUUAGCCCCGUAACUUCGGAAGAAGGGGUACCCCUGUCUGUGAUCGGGCUUGCCCCGGGAGCGGACGGGGGUCGCAGCGAAGCGGCCCAAACGACUGUUUAACAAAAACACAGGUCUCUGCCAAAGCGAAAGCUGAGGUAUAGGGGCUGACACCUGCCCGGUGCCGGAAGGUUAAGGGGAGGGCUGAUAAGGCUCAAACCGAAGCCCCGGUGAACGGCGGCCGUAACUAUAACGGUCCUAAGGUAGCGAAAUUCCUUGUCGGGUAAGUUCCGACCCGCACGAAAGGUGUCACGAGUUGGGCACUGUCUCGACGGGGGGCUCGGCGAAAAUGCAGGACCCGUGAAGAUGCGGGUUACCCGCUGCAGGACAAAAAGACCCCGUGGAGCUUUACUGCAACUUGGUGUUGAAGGCGGGCCAGGGAUGCGUAGGAUAGGUGGGAGGCUGUGAAACCCCAACUCCGGUUGGGGCGGAGCCGCCCUUGAAAUACCACUCUUCCUUAGUCUACCUCCUAACCCCCGAUAGAUCGGGGAGACAGCGCCUGGUGGGCAGUUUGACUGGGGCGGUCGCCUCCCAAAAGGUAACGGAGGCGCCCAAAGGUCCCCUCAGGCUGGAUGGAAAUCAGCCGUCGAGCGUAUUGGUAUAAGGGGGCUUGACUGUGAGGCCUACAAGCCGAGCAGGGGCGAAAGCCGGGCAAAGUGAUCCUACGGUUCCGUGUGGAAGGGCCGUGGCUUAACGGAUAAAA